AUGUUUUUAACUGAAACUUGGUUGGACCAAAGUAACAGUGGAGCUGUUCUCAUCGAGUCAACCCCUCCUAACUACAGUUUUAUCAGUGAGGCCAGGGUGAGCAGGAGAGGAGGAGGGGUUGCUGUCUUAUUUAAUGAAUCAUUUCAAUGUAAGCAGCUAUCUCCUGGAAGUUUUCAGUCUUUUGAAUAUGUGGCUUUACAGCUGAAGGCCCCAUCCAAAGUUAUGUUUCUUAAUGUUUACAGGCCUCCCAAAUACGGCACAGACUUUUUUAAUGACCUCAGUGAACUGCUGUCUGUGAUCUGUGUUGAUUUCGACUGUGUAAUUAUUGUUGGGGAUUUUAACAUCCAUGUGGACAACCCUCAGGACAAAGGGACUAAAGACCUGAGUAACACUCUGGGCAACUUUGGGCUGACUCAGCAUGUAACAGAGGCCACACAUAAUAGAGGACACACUCUUGACCUACUGAUCUCCAAGGGCCUGAGCAUUUCAAAGGUUACUGUGUCUGAUGUGGGCCUGUCUGAUCAUUACUGUGUUUUCUUUGAAAGUAAAAUCUCAGCCCACACAAAUAUAUCAACAGCAGUGAUCACAAAACAGUGUAUAACUGAGCACAGUAGUGAGAUCUUUAACCAGGUCUUCCCAUUAACACCUGACCUGUCCAGAGGUUCAGUCAAUGAGCUCGUCAAUAGCUUCAAUGCUAAAAUGUUAAAUGUAAUGGACACUAUUGCUCCCAUUAAGGUGAAGGUUAUCUCUGGAAGGAAAAAGUCUCCAUGGAGAAACUCCACACUGGUGAAAAAUGAAAAAAGAGAAUGUAGGAAAGCUGAGCGCAGAUGGAGAAAAACAAACCUCCAGGUUUAUUAUGACAUCUAUAAAGAGAAACUUCACAAUUAUAACUUACAACUGAGGAGUGCAAGGAAGUCCUACUUCUCUGACAUCAUCACCAAAAACAGUCAUAACGCUCGGGUCUUAUUUUCUACAGUUGACAGGCUAACAAACCCUCCUGUGUCAGUGGCAGCUGAACUUCAUUCGACUAUGGCCUGCAAUGACUUUGCCAAAUUCUUCACAGAAAAAAUCCAAAAGAUUAGACAAGCAAUUAAUACAUCAACAGCUGAUCCAGGAUAUGUACUGUGUCCACCGAAAAACCGUUUAAAAACCAUCAAACAGUUUCACCCUAUUAACAGCAAAGACCUGGAGGACAUCUUAGGUCAACUGAACUCCUCCUCUUGCUGUUUAGAUGUCCUGCCAACAAGUUUUUUCAAAAAGGUCUCAAAGACUUUGGAGUCAGACCUGUUACAGAUUGUCAACUUUUCUUUAAUAUUAGGUGUGUUUCCAGAAUCACUAAAAACUGCUGUAAUUAAACCUAUACUGAAAAAGGACAAUCUUGACAAGACACAAAUAAAUAACUACAGGCCGAUCUCAAAUCUCCCAUUUUUAAGUAAGAUUAUUGAAAAAGCAGUUUCUCAACAGCUCAAUUACUUCCUAAAACAAAAUAACUGCUAUGAUGCCUUCUGUUACGCCCCAGUCUAG
Molecule: long non-coding RNA, 1524 nt
Filed under: Oreochromis niloticus (Nile tilapia)
Lineage: Eukaryota; Metazoa; Chordata; Actinopteri; Cichliformes; Cichlidae
Description: lncRNA (ENSONIG00000029050.1)
Source: RNAcentral